Long non-coding RNA from Macaca mulatta (Rhesus monkey), 281 nucleotides. RefSeq lists it as uncharacterized. Lineage: Eukaryota; Metazoa; Chordata; Mammalia; Primates; Cercopithecidae. The record is from RefSeq and is a predicted model, not a curated record.
AAGUGAUCUUCCCUCCUCAGCCUUCUGAGUAGCUGGGACUACAGAUGCAGAUAGAAAUAUUAGUUUUAUGAGAAAUUAUUUCUUAAAGGAUGAAACAUUCCACAAAAUAUAUUUUGUCAAAGACUAUGGGAAUAAUCAAGCUUUUGUGAAGCAAAGAACUGAGUGAUGAGAUAAAUAAGGACAAAUCCAGAAAGGUAGCUGAUGUAUUUAAAGUCCAGGACCAGAUGGAUUCACAGCUGAAUUCUACCAGAGGUACAAGGAGGAGUUGGUACCAUUCCUUC